Molecule: ribosomal RNA, 655 nt
Filed under: bacterium
Lineage: Bacteria
Description: bacterial SSU rRNA
Rfam family: Bacterial small subunit ribosomal RNA
Source: RNAcentral
AAAGCUCCGGCGGUGAAGGAUGAGCCCGCGGCCUAUCAGCUUGUUGGUGGGGUAAUGGCCUACCAAGGCGACGACGGGUAGCCGGCCUGAGAGGGCGACCGGCCACACUGGGACUGAGACACGGCCCAGACUCCUACGGGAGGCAGCAGUGGGGAAUAUUGCACAAUGGGCGAAAGCCUGAUGCAGCGACGCCGCGUGAGGGAUGACGGCCUUCGGGUUGUAAACCUCUUUCAGCAGGGAAGAAGCGAAAGUGACGGUACCUGCAGAAGAAGCGCCGGCUAACUACGUGCCAGCAGCCGCGGUAAUACGUAGGGCGCAAGCGUUGUCCGGAAUUAUUGGGCGUAAAGAGCUCGUAGGCGGCCAGUCGCGUCGGGUGUGAAAGACCGGGGCUUAACCCCGGUUCUGCAUUCGAUACGGGCUGGCUAGAGUGUGGUAGGGGAGAUCGGAAUUCCUGGUGUAGCGGUGAAAUGCGCAGAUAUCAGGAGGAACACCGGUGGCGAAGGCGGAUCUCUGGGCCAUUACUGACGCUGAGGAGCGAAAGCGUGGGGAGCGAACAGGAUUAGAUACCCUGGUAGUCCACGCCGUAAACGGUGGGAACUAGGUGUUGGCGACAUUCCACGUCGUCGGUGCCGCAGCUAACGCAUAAGUCCCCGCC